Molecule: ribosomal RNA, 411 nt
Filed under: Verrucomicrobiota bacterium
Lineage: Bacteria; Pseudomonadati; Verrucomicrobiota
Description: Verrucomicrobia bacterium partial 16S ribosomal RNA
Rfam family: Bacterial small subunit ribosomal RNA
Source: RNAcentral
UGGGGAAUAUUGCGCAAUGGGGGAAACCCUGACGCAGCGACGCCGCGUGCGGGAUGAAGGCCUUCGGGUUGUAAACCGCUUUUGAUUGGGAGCAAGCCUUUUGGGUGAGUGUACCUUUCGAAUAAGCGCCGGCUAACUACGUGCCAGCAGCCGCGGUAAUACGUAGGGCGCAAGCGUUAUCCGGAAUUAUUGGGCGUAAAGCGAGCGCAGGCGGUUAGAAAAGUCUGAAGUGAAAGGCAGUGGCUCAACCAUUGUAGGCUUUGGAAACUGUUUAACUUGAGUGCAGAAGGGGAGAGUGGAAUUCCAUGUGUAGCGGUGAAAUGCGUAGAUAUAUGGAGGAACACCGGUGGCGAAGGCGACUUUCUGGACUUUUACUGACGCUCAGGUACGAAAGCGUGGGGAGCAAACAGG